RNAcentral lists this transfer RNA (83 nucleotides) under Echinostoma caproni. It matches the Rfam family "tRNA". From Rfam's summary of the family: Transfer RNA (tRNA) molecules are approximately 80 nucleotides in length. Their secondary structure includes four short double-helical elements and three loops (D, anti-codon, and T loops). Lineage: Eukaryota; Metazoa; Platyhelminthes; Trematoda; Plagiorchiida; Echinostomatidae. The record is from Rfam by way of RNAcentral.
GGCUCUGUAGCUCAGCUAGUAGAGCGUGCGCUGUACAAAGCAUAGGCGGCGUUUAUGUGUGGGUUUGAAUCCCACCGGGGCUA